UACGUAGGUGGCAAGCGUUAUCCGGAAUUAUUGGGCGUAAAGCGCGCGUAGGCGGUUUUUUAAGUCUGAUGUGAAAGCCCACGGCUCAACCGUGGAGGGUCAUUGGAAACUGGAAAACUUGAGUGCGGAAGAGGAAAGUGGAAUUCCAUGUGUAGCGGUGAAAUGCGCAGAGAUAUGGAGGAACACCAGUGGCGAAGGCGACUUUCUGGUCUGUAACUGACGCUGAUGUGCGAAAGCGUGGAGAUCAAACAGGAUUAG
RNAcentral lists this ribosomal RNA (258 nucleotides) under uncultured Staphylococcus sp. Its description in RNAcentral is "partial 16S ribosomal RNA". It matches the Rfam family "Bacterial small subunit ribosomal RNA", at positions 524 to 781 of the family's 1533-position model. Lineage: Bacteria; Bacillati; Bacillota; Bacilli; Caryophanales; Staphylococcaceae. The record is from RNAcentral.